GACGAACGCUGGCGGCGUGCCUAAUACAUGCAAGUAGAACGCUGAAGAGAGGAGCUUGCUCUUCUUGGAUGAGUUGCGAACGGGUGAGUAACGCGUAGGUAACCUGCCUUGUAGCGGGGGAUAACUAUUGGAAACGAUAGCUAAUACCGCAUAACAAUGGAUGACACAUGUCAUUUAUUUGAAAGGGGCAAUUGCUCCACUACAAGAUGGACCUGCGUUGUAUUAGCUAGUAGGUGAGGUAAUGGCUCACCUAGGCGACGAUACAUAGCCGACCUGAGAGGGUGAUCGGCCACACUGGGACUGAGACACGGCCCAGACUCCUACGGGAGGCAGCAGUAGGGAAUCUUCGGCAAUGGGGGCAACCCUGACCGAGCAACGCCGCGUGAGUGAAGAAGGUUUUCGGAUCGUAAAGCUCUGUUGUAAGUCAAGAACGGGUGUGAGAGUGGAAAGUUCACACUGUGACGGUAGCUUACCAGAAAGGGACGGCUAACUACGUGCCAGCAGCCGCGGUAAUACGUAGGUCCCGAGCGUUGUCCGGAUUUAUUGGGCGUAAAGCGAGCGCAGGUGGUUUAUUAAGUCUGGUGUAAAAGGCAGUGGCUCAACCAUUGUAUGCAUUGGAAACUGGUAGACUUGAGUGCAGGAGAGGAGAGUGGAAUUC
This 658-nucleotide ribosomal RNA is filed under the name uncultured bacterium. RNAcentral describes it as "bacterial SSU rRNA". It matches the Rfam family "Bacterial small subunit ribosomal RNA", at positions 28 to 669 of the family's 1533-position model. The record is from RNAcentral.